UACGGAGGGUGCAAGCGUUAAUCGGAAUUACUGGGCGUAAAGCGCGCGUAGGCGGCUAAGUAAGUCGGGUGUGAAAGCCCCGGGCUCAACCUGGGAACUGCAUCCGAUACUGUUUGGCUAGAGUAUGAGAGAGGGAGGUAGAAUUCCACGUGUAGCGGUGAAAUGCGUAGAUAUGUGGAGGAAUACCGGUGGCGAAGGCGGCCUCCUGGCUUAAUACUGACGCCGAGGUGCGAAAGCGUGGGGAGCAAACAGG
RNAcentral lists this ribosomal RNA (253 nucleotides) under uncultured bacterium. RNAcentral's name for it is "partial 16S ribosomal RNA". It matches the Rfam family "Bacterial small subunit ribosomal RNA", at positions 524 to 776 of the family's 1533-position model. The record is from RNAcentral.